This 576-nucleotide long non-coding RNA is filed under the name Brassica napus (rape). RNAcentral describes it as "long non-coding RNA (BNAP_LNC012164)". Lineage: Eukaryota; Viridiplantae; Streptophyta; Magnoliopsida; Brassicales; Brassicaceae. The record is from RNAcentral.
CCGGAUCUCCGACACGAUCCCCGUCGGGAUUCCUUGUCGGAUUCGACGUCGCUGCGACUGCCUUUCCCUUCUGCUGCUUCGAUAGCCUCUGACCCGACGACAUCGCGGAACGGAACGGUGAAGAAUGCUUCGACUGAAUCUAACAACGCUUAGAGAGAUAAAGGAAAGAGAGAGAAAGUACCUUUGAUCCCGGAGAAAAACUUGAAGAAAUGAGAAGAGAUCUGCGUAUUUAUAAGGAAAAGAGAGGGGGGGGAACUCGGGGCGCCAUCAUUAGGUCUAUUCGGGCCUAAAAGGGCCUCGAAAUCCACCCUAAAAACCCAGCGGACCCUCGCGAUGAUUCCGCUUCUCGACAUGUUAUGAAAGGAAGAGAAGGGGGGGGGGGAACUCGAGGCGCUGCCAUUAAAUUCAAACGGGCCCAUUUGGGCCUCGAGACUCUCCCAAAUGUCCAGCGGACCCUCGCGACGGUUUAGCUUCACGUCUAAAUCAAACGUCGGACAUCUUAAAAUCAGAAUAACCCAACGGUUAAUCAAGAUAUGUUAGUCGGGACCGAUUAUCCACGGCCGAUCGGCCUCAAAC